RNAcentral lists this ribosomal RNA (2891 nucleotides) under Vibrio parahaemolyticus. Its description in RNAcentral is "23S ribosomal RNA". It matches the Rfam family "Bacterial large subunit ribosomal RNA". The record is from RNAcentral. Lineage: Bacteria; Pseudomonadati; Pseudomonadota; Gammaproteobacteria; Vibrionales; Vibrionaceae.
GGUUAAGUGACUAAGCGUACACGGUGGAUGCCUUGGCAGUCAGAGGCGAUGAAAGACGUAGUAACUUGCGAUAAGCCCAGAUUAGGUAGUAACAACCAUUUGAGUCUGGGAUUUCUGAAUGGGGAAACCCACGUGCAUAAGCACGUAUCCUUACCUGAAUACAUAGGGUAAGGAGGCGAACCGGGGGAACUGAAACAUCUAAGUACCCCGAGGAAAAGAAAUCAACCGAGAUUCCGAAAGUAGCGGCGAGCGAAAUUGGACUAGCCCUUAAGCUUUACACGCGUUAGACGAACGGUCUGGAAAGUCCGACGAUACAGGGUGAUAGUCCCGUAGUUGACGACGUGUGUUCAGUGAAAUCGAGUAGGGCGGGACACGUGAUAUCCUGUCUGAAUAUGGGGGGACCAUCCUCCAAGGCUAAAUACUACUGACUGACCGAUAGUGAACCAGUACCGUGAGGGAAAGGCGAAAAGAACCCCUGUGAGGGGAGUGAAAUAGAACCUGAAACCGUGUACGUACAAGCAGUAGGAGCAGGCUUUGUCCUGUGACUGCGUACCUUUUGUAUAAUGGGUCAGCGACUUAUAUUCAGUGGCAAGGUUAACCAUCUAGGGGAGCCGUAGGGAAACCGAGUCUUAACUGGGCGUUCAGUCUCUGGAUAUAGACCCGAAACCAGGUGAUCUAGCCAUGGGCAGGUUGAAGGUUGAGUAACAUCAACUGGAGGACCGAACCGACUAAUGUUGAAAAAUUAGCGGAUGACUUGUGGCUAGGGGUGAAAGGCCAAUCAAACCUGGAGAUAGCUGGUUCUCCCCGAAAGCUAUUUAGGUAGCGCCUCGGACGAAUACUACUGGGGGUAGAGCACUGUUAAGGCUAGGGGGUCAUCCCGACUUACCAACCCUUUGCAAACUCCGAAUACCAGUAAGUACUAUCCGGGAGACACACGGCGGGUGCUAACGUCCGUCGUGGAGAGGGAAACAACCCAGACCGCCAGCUAAGGUCCCAAAUUACUACUAAGUGGGAAACGAUGUGGGAAGGCUCAGACAGCCAGGAUGUUGGCUUAGAAGCAGCCAUCAUUUAAAGAAAGCGUAAUAGCUCACUGGUCGAGUCGGCCUGCGCGGAAGAUGUAACGGGGCUAAGUAGUAAACCGAAGCUGCGGCAAUAUACUUUUGUAUAUUGGGUAGGGGAGCGUUCUGUAAGCGGUUGAAGGUGUGUGGUAACGCAUGCUGGACGUAUCAGAAGUGCGAAUGCUGACAUGAGUAACGAUAAAGGGGGUGAAAAACCUCCUCGCCGGAAGACCAAGGGUUCCUGUCCAACGUUAAUCGGGGCAGGGUAAGUCGACCCCUAAGGCGAGGCCGAAAGGCGUAGUCGAUGGGAAACGGGUUAAUAUUCCCGUACUUCUUACAAUUGCGAUGGGGGGACGGAGAAGGCUAGGUGGGCCUGGCGACGGUUGUCCAGGUUCAAGUGCGUAGGCUUAAGAGUUAGGUAAAUCCGGCUCUUUUUAAGGCUGAGACACGACGUCGAGCACCUACGGGUGUGAAGUCAUUGAUGCCAUGCUUCCAGGAAAAGCCUCUAAGCUUCAGAUUGUAAGGAAUCGUACCCCAAACCGACACAGGUGGUCGGGUAGAGAAUACCAAGGCGCUUGAGAGAACUCGGGUGAAGGAACUAGGCAAAAUGGUACCGUAACUUCGGGAGAAGGUACGCUCUUGAUGGUGAAGUCCCUCGCGGAUGGAGCUGACGAGAGUCGCAGAUACCAGGUGGCUGCAACUGUUUAUUAAAAACACAGCACUGUGCAAAAUCGUAAGAUGACGUAUACGGUGUGACGCCUGCCCGGUGCCGGAAGGUUAAUUGAUGGGGUUAGACUUCGGUCGAAGCUCUUGAUCGAAGCCCCGGUAAACGGCGGCCGUAACUAUAACGGUCCUAAGGUAGCGAAAUUCCUUGUCGGGUAAGUUCCGACCUGCACGAAUGGCGUAAUGAUGGCCACGCUGUCUCCACCCGAGACUCAGUGAAAUUGAAAUCGCUGUGAAGAUGCAGUGUACCCGCGGCUAGACGGAAAGACCCCGUGAACCUUUACUACAGCUUGGCACUGAACAUUGACCCUACAUGUGUAGGAUAGGUGGGAGGCUUUGAAGCACGUACGCCAGUAUGUGUGGAGCCGUCCUUGAAAUACCACCCUUGUAGUGUUGAUGUUCUAACGUCGACCCCUUAUCGGGGUUGCGGACAGUGCCUGGUGGGUAGUUUGACUGGGGCGGUCUCCUCCCAAAGAGUAACGGAGGAGCACGAAGGUGGGCUAAUCACGGUUGGACAUCGUGAGGUUAGUGCAAUGGCAUAAGCCCGCUUGACUGCGAGAAUGACAAUUCGAGCAGGUGCGAAAGCAGGUCAUAGUGAUCCGGUGGUUCUGAAUGGAAGGGCCAUCGCUCAACGGAUAAAAGGUACUCCGGGGAUAACAGGCUGAUACCGCCCAAGAGUUCAUAUCGACGGCGGUGUUUGGCACCUCGAUGUCGGCUCAUCACAUCCUGGGGCUGAAGUCGGUCCCAAGGGUAUGGCUGUUCGCCAUUUAAAGUGGUACGCGAGCUGGGUUUAGAACGUCGUGAGACAGUUCGGUCCCUAUCUGCCGUGGGCGUUGGAAGAUUGAAGGGGGCUGCUCCUAGUACGAGAGGACCGGAGUGGACGAACCUCUGGUGUUCGGGUUGUGUCGCCAGACGCAUUGCCCGGUAGCUAAGUUCGGAAUCGAUAACCGCUGAAAGCAUCUAAGCGGGAAGCGAGCCCUGAGAUGAGUCUUCCCUGAUACUUUAAGUAUCCUAAAGGGUUGUCGGAGACUACGACGUUGAUAGGUCAGGUGUGUAAGUGCUGUGAGGCAUUGAGCUAACUGAUACUAAUUGCCCGUGAGGCUUAACCAU